This 868-nucleotide ribosomal RNA is filed under the name uncultured bacterium. Its description in RNAcentral is "bacterial SSU rRNA". It matches the Rfam family "Bacterial small subunit ribosomal RNA", at positions 8 to 884 of the family's 1533-position model. The record is from RNAcentral.
AGAGUUUGAUUAUGGCUCAGGAUGAACGCUGGCGGCGUGCUUAACACAUGCAAGUCGAACGCUGAAGCCCCAGCUUGCUGGGGUGGAUGAGUGGCGAACGGGUGAGUAACACGUGAGUAACCUUCCCUUGACUCUGGGAUAAGCCCGGGAAACUGGGUCUAAUACCGGAUACGACCUCCUGCCGCAUGGUGUGGGGGUGGAAAGAUUUAUCGGUUUUGGAUGGACUCGCGGCCUAUCAGCUUGUUGGUGAGGUAAUGGCUCACCAAGGCGACGACGGGUAGCCGGCCUGAGAGGGUGACCGGCCACACUGGGACUGAGACACGGCCCAGACUCCUACGGGAGGCAGCAGUGGGGAAUAUUGCACAAUGGGCGCAAGCCUGAUGCAGCGACGCCGCGUGAGGGAUGACGGCCUUCGGGUUGUAAACCUCUUUCAGUAGGGAAGAAGCGAAAGUGACGGUACCUGCAGAAGAAGCGCCGGCUAACUACGUGCCAGCAGCCGCGGUAAUACGUAGGGCGCGAGCGUUAUCCGGAAUUAUUGGGCGUAAAGAGCUCGUAGGCGGUUUGUCGCGUCUGCCGUGAAAGUCCGGGGCUUAACCCCGGAUCUGCGGUGGGUACGGGCAGACUAGAGUGCAGUAGGGGAGACUGGAAUUCCUGGUGUAGCGGUGAAAUGCGCAGAUAUCAGGAGGAACACCGAUGGCGAAGGCAGGUCUCUGGGCUGUUACUGACGCUGAGGAGCGAAAGCAUGGGGAGCGAACAGGAUUAGAUACCCUGAUAGUCCAUGCCGUAAACGUUGGGCACUAGGUGUGGGGGACAUUCCACGUUUUCCGCGCCGCAGCUAACGCAUUAAGUGCCCCGCCUGGGGAGUACG